GGGGUGCACUCUUAUUCAUGGGCCCUUUCCCUCUAUAUUUGAACCCCAUGGACCGUCUCUCAAGUUGUUCUCUUUGGUUGCUUACAAUCCACCACGCUUCCCUACAAGUUCACGCCCUCGUGAACAGAAGCUGAGAGCCGCAGCUCUCCUGAGAGCCUCGCUCUCUUGACACCCUACCCCUCGGGUCGAGCCCAGUGGGAGCAAACUGGACCAGCCAGAUGUCAAUCAACAUGUGGUGCGAUUCCCUUAGCCAACCAACAGAGUCAGACCUGAGACCCGCUCCGAUACCAAAUGUAAGCUCCUGAGUUUGGACUUCCCGGGAGGUCGCCCAGCCCAGUACUAUUCAAACCCAAGGACGCUUAACUCCAAAUAUCCCAAGACCCUUAACCAUUUGGAAAAGGGGGUGCACUCUUAUUCAUGGGCCCUUUCCCUCUAUAUUUGAACCCCAUGGACCGUCUCUCAAGUCGUUCUCUUUGGUUGCUUACAAUCCACCACGCUUCCCUACAAGUUCACGCCCUCGUGAACAGAAGCUGAGAGCCGCAGCUCUCCUGAGAGCCUCGCUCUCUUGACACCCUACCCCUCGGGUCGAGCCCAGUGGGAGCAAACUGGACCAGCCAGAUGUCAAUCAACAUGUGGUGCGAUUCCCUUAGCCAACCAACAGAGUCAGACCUGAGACCCGCUCCGAUACCAAAUGUAAGCUCCUGAGUUUGGACUUCCCGGGAGGUCGCCCAGCCCAGUACUAUUCAAACCCAAGGACGCUUAACUCCAAAUAUCCCAAGACC
Molecule: long non-coding RNA, 782 nt
Filed under: Selaginella moellendorffii
Lineage: Eukaryota; Viridiplantae; Streptophyta; Lycopodiopsida; Selaginellales; Selaginellaceae
Description: long non-coding RNA (SMOE_LNC001777)
Source: RNAcentral